Molecule: ribosomal RNA, 253 nt
Filed under: uncultured bacterium
Lineage: Bacteria
Description: partial 16S ribosomal RNA
Rfam family: Bacterial small subunit ribosomal RNA
Source: RNAcentral
UACGUAGGAGGCGAGCGUUGUCCGGAAUUACUGGGCGUAAAGCGUGCGCAGGCGGUUUGUUAAGUCCGCUGUGAAAUCCCCGAGCUCAACUUGGGAAUUGCAGUGGAUACUGGCAAGCUGGAGUAUGGUAGAGGAAGGUGGAAUUCCCGGUGUAGCAGUGAAAUGCGUAGAGAUCGGGAGGAACACCAGUGGCGAAGGCGGCCUUCUGGACCAAUACUGACGCUCAUGCACGAAAGCGUGGGGAGCAAACAGG